RNAcentral lists this transfer RNA (72 nucleotides) under Heterocephalus glaber (naked mole-rat). It matches the Rfam family "tRNA". Rfam says of the family: Transfer RNA (tRNA) molecules are approximately 80 nucleotides in length. Lineage: Eukaryota; Metazoa; Chordata; Mammalia; Rodentia; Bathyergidae. The record is from Rfam by way of RNAcentral.
GGGGAUGUGGCUCAGUGGCAUUGAGCCUGCCUGGAAAGCGCAAGGUCCUGAGUUCAAUCCCCAGUGCCCCCG